Molecule: ribosomal RNA, 444 nt
Filed under: uncultured bacterium
Lineage: Bacteria
Description: bacterial SSU rRNA
Rfam family: Bacterial small subunit ribosomal RNA
Source: RNAcentral
GUGAGGAAUAUUGCGCAAUGCCCGAAAGGGUGACGCAGCGACGCCGCGUGGAGGAUGAAGGCCCUCUGGGUCGUAAACUCCUGUUGAGAGGGAAGAAUGGAGCGCUAUAGGCGCUCGUGACGGUACCUCUAGAGAAAGCACCGGCUAACUACGUGCCAGCAGCCGCGGUAAUACGUAGGGUGCUAGCGUUGUCCGGAUUCACUGGGUGUAAAGGGAGCGCAGGCGGGUCUUCAAGUCGUUGGUGAAAUUCUCAGGCUCAACCUGGGGACUGCCAAUGAUACUGGAGAUCUUGAGUGCAGAAGAGGAAGACGGAAUUCCUGGUGUAGCGGUGAAAUGCGUAGAUAUCAGGAAGAACACCGGUGGCGAAGGCGGUCUUCUGGUCUGUAACUGACGCUCAUGCUCGAAAGCGUGGGGAGCAAACAGGAUUAGAUACCCCAGUAGUCC